UUGGUUAGCUUUCGCCAUUAAAUGACAAGAAGAAGUGGAUUCGUUGUUUUGUGUGAUCCACUAUUAAAUGCAAAGACUACAAAGUAGGAGAAGUUGUUGUUCGACUGAACAUUAUAAUGGGCAAGACGUCCGAUCUAAGCGACUUUGACCGUGGUACAAUUGUUGGUGCCAGGCGUAGUGGUGCCAGUGUCUCACAAACAGCUGCCCUUUUGGGAUUUUCACGUACUACAGUCUCUAGAGUGUACAAAGAAUGGAGCCAAAAGAAAAAAACAUCCAGCCAGCGGAAGCUAUGUGGGCGAAAACGCCUUGUUAAUGAGAUAGGUGAGAAGAUAAUCGAUACAAUCAUUCAAGCGGACAGAUUGGCCACCCAUGCUGAAAUAACAGCUAUUUACAACAGUAAUAUGCAAAAGACCAUCUCUCAACACACAACGCGCCGAACCUUAAAACGGAUGGGCUACUCGAAGACCAUGCCAGUUUCCACCCUCUGCAAAGUACAAGAAGCUUCCAGCGCAGAGCCUCUAUCAUGAGAUGGCAUAAGCCUGCCAGUGAAAUCCCUCCCUGUUGCAGACCGGCUCAAGCAUCCACCAGGAAGAAGUGGGGAUGGGGCUACAGGAAAGGGAAAUGACUUAAAAUUAGUUUCCCUGUGCUCCCCAUUUAUAAUGGACAAUUUAGCCAUUAUAUACUUACCCUUAUGUGAGUCAACUCUACACUUAACAGUGAGUAAGUUAUUUAAAUUAAAAGAAACAAAUAAAUCCUGUUUGAACAUCUGUGUUGUUUAUACACUUGAGUAUAUGAUGCUGCCUGUCAAAUCUAAAAUAGAUUAUAAUCCUCACUAAAUAAAGAAAAGUUUAUAAGGCA
This is a long non-coding RNA of Conger conger (European conger), 858 nucleotides long. RefSeq lists it as uncharacterized. The transcript has 2 exons. NCBI's taxonomy places the organism in Eukaryota, Metazoa, Chordata, Actinopteri, Anguilliformes, Congridae. The record is from RefSeq and is a predicted model, not a curated record.